GAUGAACGCUGGCGGCGUGCCUAAUACAUGCAAGUCGAGCGAACGGACGAGAAGCUUGCUUUUCUGAUGUUAGCGGCGGACGGGUGAGUAACACGUGGAUAACCUACCUAUAAGACUGGGAUAACUUCGGGAAACCGGAGCUAAUACCGGAUAAUAUUUUGAACCGCAUGGUUCAAAAGUGAAAGUCGGUCUUGCUGUCACUUAUAGAUGGAUCCGCGCUGCAUUAGCUAGUUGGUAAGGUAACGGCUUACCAAGGCAACGAUGCAUAGCCGACCUGAGAGGGUGAUCGGCCACACUGGAACUGAGACACGGUCCAGACUCCUACGGGAGGCAGCAGUAGGGAAUCUUCCGCAAUGGGCGAAAGCCUGACGGAGCAACGCCGCGUGAGUGAUGAAGGUCUUCGGAUCGUAAAACUCUGUUAUUAGGGAAGAACAUAUGUGUAAGUAUCUGUGCACAUCUUGACGGUACCUAAUCAGAAAGCCACGGCUAACUACGUG
This 497-nucleotide ribosomal RNA is filed under the name uncultured bacterium. RNAcentral's name for it is "partial 16S ribosomal RNA". It matches the Rfam family "Bacterial small subunit ribosomal RNA", at positions 28 to 507 of the family's 1533-position model. The record is from RNAcentral.